Molecule: long non-coding RNA, 818 nt
Organism: Aphidius gifuensis
Lineage: Eukaryota; Metazoa; Arthropoda; Insecta; Hymenoptera; Braconidae
Exons: 2
Source: RefSeq, a predicted model, not a curated record
UGUAGCAUAGCAGGCAUAGCAGUGGAAGCAGUGGAAGCAACGUAGAUUGUUUUUAUUCAUUAUCUUGUUAAAAGAAAAAAGUUGUAGUGUUGUGCCCUAGUAUAUAAGGCAAUGGAAAAUCAUAUCAAUAAACAAAUAAAAUAAUAAAAAAAGCCAUAUUGUGCCCAGGGCUAAUAUUAAAACACUCAGAAUAAAUGAAUUCUGCUUCUAUAAAUUUGUGGUUCAGCAAAAUGGCAGCAGCCGACUCACCAACCGACGACAGUCUUUAUCCAAUUGCAGUUCUGAUCGAUGACUUAUAAAAUGAAAAUUUACAACUGCGAUUAAAUUCAAUCAAAAAACUUUCAACGAUUGCCUUGGCACUUUGUGCUGAACAUACUCGUUGUGAGUUGAUACAUUUUGUUCCAUUGGUACAACGUUUGGCAUCUGGUGAUUGGUUUACGUCAAGAACAUCGACAUGUGGUUUAAUAAGUGUAUCUUAUCCACGUGUAAGUACAGCAACAUCAGCUGAAUCAAGAAAUCAUUUUUGUAAUUUAUGUCAAGAUGAUACACUAAUGGGGCGACAUUCAGCAUCAUCAAAAUUGGGAGAAUUUGCGAAAGUUGUUGAAAUUGAGUAUUUAAAAUCUGAUUCAAUUCUAAUGUUUGUUAUACUUGCACGAGAUGAACAAGAUUCUGUUCGUUUAUUAGCUGUUGAUGCAUGUGUUAGUAUAUUGCAACAUUAUUACAACGAGAAGAUGUUGAACAACGUGUUAUGCCAAAAUUACGUCAAUGUGCUGCUGAUUUAUCAUGGCGUGUACAUUAUAUGAUUGAUGAUGAAUUUA